CAAAUUACACCGUAACUUCGGGAGAAGUUGUGCCGCUGGCGGUUAGUGACUUCGCGUCACGAAGCUGUCGGUGGUCGCAGUGAAAUGGCGGUUGUGACUGUUUACUAAAAACACAGGACUCUGCGAAGUCGUAAGACGACGUAUAGGGUCUGAUGCCUGCCCGGUGCUGGAAGGUUAAGGGGAUAUGUCAGCGCAAGCGAAGCAUUGAACCGAAGCCCCAGUAAACGGCGGCCGUAACUAUAACGGUCCUAAGGUAGCGAAAUUCCUUGUCGGGUAAGUUCCGACCUGCACGAGGGCAUAACAACAUCCGCACUGUCUCGACCAGGGACUCAGCGAAAUUACAUUGGGGGUGAAGAUGCCCUCUACCCGCGGAAAGACGGAAAGACCCCAUGAACCUUUACUGCAACUUGGCAGUGAUUUUCGGGUUGUUCUGCGUAGGAUAGGUGGGAGGCUUUGAAGCCGGGCUUCCGGGUUCGGCAGAGCCAACGUUGAAAUACCACCCUGAAUAAUCUGGAAAUCUAACCUGCGGCCAUGAUCUGGGCGAGGGACACUGCCUGGUGGGCAGUUUGACUGGGGCGGUCGCCUCCUAAAUUGUAACGGAGGCGUGCGACGGUUCCCUCAGGCUGAUUGGAAACCAGCCGUAGAGUGCAAACGCAUAAGGGAGCUUUACUGCGAGACUGACAAGUCGAACAGUUGCGAAAGCAGGUGUUAGUGAUCCGGUGGUACCACAUGGAAGGGCCAUCGCUCAUCGGAUAAAAGGUACUCUGGGGAUAACAGGCUGAUCGCGCCUGAGAGUUCACAUCGGCGGCGCGGUUUGGCACCUCGAUGUCGGCUCAUCGCAUCCUGGGGCUGGAGCAGGUCCCAAGGGUUUGGCUGUUCGCCAAUUAAAGCGGUACGCGAGCUGGGUUUAAAACGUCGUGAGACAGUUUGGCCCCUAUCUUCCGUGGGCGCAGGACACUUGAGAGGAGCUAUCCAUAGUACGAGAGGACCUGGAUGGACGAACCUCUGGUGCUCCGGUUGUCACGCCAGUGGCAUAGCCGGGUAGCCAUGUUCGGAACAGAUAACCGCUGAAGGCAUAUAAGCGGGAAGCUGGCCUCAAGACUAGGUGUCCCUGACGCAAGUCACUAAAGGCCCCUCGAAGACUACGAGGUUGAUAGGCUCGGUGUGGAAGCGCUGCGAGGCGUGGAGCUAACGAGUACUAAUAGGCCAGCGACUUGACCCC
Molecule: ribosomal RNA, 1222 nt
Filed under: metagenome
Description: bacterial LSU rRNA
Rfam family: Bacterial large subunit ribosomal RNA
Source: RNAcentral